This 301-nucleotide ribosomal RNA is filed under the name uncultured bacterium. RNAcentral describes it as "partial 16S ribosomal RNA". It matches the Rfam family "Bacterial small subunit ribosomal RNA", at positions 509 to 809 of the family's 1533-position model. The record is from RNAcentral.
CAGUCGCCGCGGUAAUACGAAGGGUGCAAGCGUUACUCGGAAUUACUGGGCGUAAAGCGCACGUAGGCGGCUUGGUAAGUUAGAGGUGAAAGCCUGGAGCUCAACUCCAGAAUUGCCUUUAAGACUGCCGAGCUAGCAGGUGAGAGAGGUAAGUGGAAUUCCGAGUGUAGAGGUGAAAUUCCUAGAUAUUCGGAAGAACACCAGUGGCGAAGGCGGCUUACUGGCUCAUACUGGACGCUGAGGUGCGAAAGCGUGGGGAGCAAACAGGAUUAGAUACCCGCGUAGUCCUGUCUCUUAUACA